UUGGAGGGCAAGUCUGGUGCCAGCAGCCGCGGUAAUUCCAGCUCCAAUAGCGUAUAUUAAAGUUGUUGCAGUUAAAAAGCUCGUAGUUGAAUUUCGGGAUCAGAUUGUCGGUCGUGCCUCGGUACGCACUGGCAUUAUUGGUUCCUACCUUCUGAAGAACCGCGAUGUCAUUAAUUUGGUGUCGUGGGGAAUCAGGACUGUUACUUUGAAAAAAUUAGAGUGUUUAAAGCAGGCGCACGCUUGAAUACAUUAGCAUGGAAUAAUGAAAUAGGACGUUUGAUUCUAUUUUGUUGGUUUCUAGGAUCGACGUAAUGAUUAAUAGGGAUAGUUGGGGGCAUUAGUAUUCAAUUGUCAGAGGUGAAAUUCUUGGAUUUAUUGAAGACUAACUACUGCGAAAGCAUUUGCCAAGGAUGUUUUCAUUAAUCAAGAACGAAAGUUAGGGGAUCGAAGACGAUCAGAUACCGUCGUAGUCUUAACCAUAAACUAUGCCGACUAGGGAUCGGAUGAUGUUAAUUUUUAAUGACUCAUUCGGCGCCUUACGGGAAAC
This 547-nucleotide ribosomal RNA is filed under the name uncultured Glomeromycotina. Its description in RNAcentral is "SSU rRNA". It matches the Rfam family "Eukaryotic small subunit ribosomal RNA", at positions 548 to 1098 of the family's 1831-position model. Lineage: Eukaryota; Fungi; Glomeromycota. The record is from RNAcentral.